This 250-nucleotide ribosomal RNA is filed under the name uncultured Sphingobacteriia bacterium. Its description in RNAcentral is "partial 16S ribosomal RNA". It matches the Rfam family "Bacterial small subunit ribosomal RNA", at positions 524 to 773 of the family's 1533-position model. The record is from RNAcentral. Lineage: Bacteria; Pseudomonadati; Bacteroidota; Sphingobacteriia.
UACGGAGGAUGCAAGCGUUAUCCGGAUUCACUGGGUUUAAAGGGUGCGUAGGCGGGCUUAUAAGUCAGUGGUGAAAUCUCUGGGCUUAACUCAGAAACUGCCAUUGAUACUAUAAGUCUUGAAUAUAGAUGAGGUUGGCGGAAUAUGUCAUGUAGCGGUGAAAUGCUUAGAUAUGACAUAGAACACCGAUUGCGAAGGCAGCUAACUAAACUAUAAUUGACGCUGAGGCACGAAAGCGUGGGGAUCAAAC